CUAUUGUGUUGAGAUAAUUGUAUCACAGGCAGAGGGGAGGAUUUCUGAUGUAAUGAAUGGGAGCGUUAGCUGUGUUGUAAUGUGUUGAUUGGUUGUUCUUCAAAACCCUGUGGGCAGUACUAUGUUUGUAGAAUGUGAAUAAAAGAGGCUGUAUGUGCCAGUACAGACAGAUCUUCUUGACCCUCAACACGUAGUCUUGUCUCGUGAUUGGAGGGAACUGCUAUAUCAC
Pelobates cultripes (western spadefoot toad) is the source of this 229-nucleotide non-coding RNA. Lineage: Eukaryota; Metazoa; Chordata; Amphibia; Anura; Pelobatidae. The record is from the annotation of a GenBank genome assembly.